RNAcentral lists this ribosomal RNA (315 nucleotides) under Crustacea environmental sample. RNAcentral's name for it is "SSU rRNA". It matches the Rfam family "Eukaryotic small subunit ribosomal RNA", at positions 1140 to 1476 of the family's 1831-position model. The record is from RNAcentral. Lineage: Eukaryota; Metazoa; Arthropoda.
AAACUUAAAGGAAUGGACGGAAAGCCACCACCAGGCGGGGAGCUUGGGGCUCAAUUGGAUUCACCACGGGAAUUUUCCCCAGGCCCGGCCACUGGAAGGAUUGACAGAUUGAGAGCUCUUUCUUGAUUCGGUGGGUGGUGGUGCAUGGCCGUUCUUAGUUGGUGGAGUGAUUUGUCUGGUUAAUUCCGAUAACGAACGAGACUCUGUCCUGCUAAAUAGUGUCUGCUUCUCUUUUGAGCAGACAAUUCUUCUUAGAGGGACUGGCGACUCUUAGUCGCACGAGAUUGAGCAAUAACAGGUCUGUGAUGCCCUUAG